Molecule: small nuclear RNA, 110 nt
Organism: Tupaia belangeri (northern tree shrew)
Lineage: Eukaryota; Metazoa; Chordata; Mammalia; Scandentia; Tupaiidae
Source: Ensembl
GUGCUUACUCCAGCAGCACAUAUACUAACAGUGCUGGAACAAUACAGAGGCGAUGAGAAUGGCUCCUGAGCAAGGAUGACAUGCAAAUUUGAGAAGUGUUCCAUAUUUUG